UCCGGCGUAGCUCAGUGGUAGAGCAAGCGGCUGUUAACCGCUAGGUCGUUGGUUCGAGUCCAACCGCCGGAGCCA
RNAcentral lists this transfer RNA (75 nucleotides) under Rhodospirillales bacterium. Its description in RNAcentral is "tRNA-Asn". It matches the Rfam family "tRNA". Rfam says of the family: Transfer RNA (tRNA) molecules are approximately 80 nucleotides in length. The record is from RNAcentral. Lineage: Bacteria; Pseudomonadati; Pseudomonadota; Alphaproteobacteria; Rhodospirillales.